RNAcentral lists this ribosomal RNA (506 nucleotides) under uncultured bacterium. Its description in RNAcentral is "partial 16S ribosomal RNA". It matches the Rfam family "Bacterial small subunit ribosomal RNA", at positions 29 to 523 of the family's 1533-position model. The record is from RNAcentral.
AGUGAACGCUGGCGGUAGGCCUAACACAUGCAAGUCGAACGGCAGCACAGGAGAGCUUGCUCUCUGGGUGGCGAGUGGCGGACGGGUGAGGAAUACAUCGGAAUCUACUCUGUCGUGGGGGAUAACGUAGGGAAACUUACGCUAAUACCGCAUACGACCUACGGGUGAAAGCAGGGGACCUACGGGCCUUGCGCGAUUGAAUGAGCCGAUGUCGGAUUAGCUAGUUGGCGGGGUAAAGGCCCACCAAGGCGACGAUCCGUAGCUGGUCUGAGGGGAUGAUCAGCAACACUGGAACUGAGACACGGUCCAGACUCCUACUGGAGGCAGCAGUGGGGAAUAUUGAACAAUGGGCGCAAGCCUGAUCCAGCCAUACCGCGUGGGUGAAGAAGGCUUUCGGGUUGUAAAGCCCUUUUGUUGGGAAAGAAAUCCAGCUGGCUAAUACCCGGUUGGGAUGACGGUACCCAAAGAAUAAGCACCGGCUAACUUCGUGCCAGCCGCCGCCGUAA